AAUAAAUUUAAAAGCUCUGCAUCUAAAGAACAAAGUAGUGUCCCAUCAUUCGAAAAUGAAAAAAGUUUAUUUCCUGAUACAGAAAAUGGUAAUAAUAAUAAUAAGAAUAAUAAUAACAAUAAUAAUAAUAAUAAUAAUAAUAAUAAUGGACGAGCGCAAAAAAAAAUGCAAGGUAUUAAUGACCCUAAUUAUAUCACAAGUUCUACGGGUGGUACGAGUAAUAUAAGUGUAGGAAAUAACUACGUAAACAAUAGUUAUAUGAACAAUAACUACAUGCAUAAUAACAUGCGCACAAACAAUAACUACAUGAACUAUAAUAAAAUUAAUUAUAACAAAAUGAACUACAACAAAAUGAAUUAUAACAAAGUGAACAUGUAUGGAAACAACAACACUGGUAAUACAAAUGUUAACAAUAAUAGCAAUAUUAUUAGUGGCAGUGGUAAUAUGAAUUUUUAUCAUAUUCAUAAAUGUAAUAAUAACAAUAGUAAUAAUAACUAUAAUAGCAACAAAAACAAUCCAAACCACUAUGUUUAUAAUAAUGAUAAAACAUAUGUAUAUAAUAAUAACAUAUUUAAAGAUUGUAUUAAUACAACACCUUAUGGAUUGGUAAAUAAUAACAAUAGUAGUGUUAAUAAUAAUAUAAAAUCCAAACAUAUAUUUAAUUGGAAAUUAGGUAAAAAAGCAUUAUUUAAAAUGUUAUAUAAUGCAAAUAAUUAUUAUUUUAAUGGAGUUAAAUAUUCAGAUUGGAAAUUAACAUGUAUACCUACACUUGGGUUUUCAAAAUCAAGCAAUCGAGUACAACAAAUGUUUAAAGCAGUGGUACCAUCAAAAGAUGGAAACCAUAAUAAAGAUAUUAAACUAUUUAUUAAAAAAAUACCUAUAUAUAUAUGGAUUAAACAGUUUAAUUUAAUGGAUAAAUAUGACGGUGAAUAUGUUACAGAUGGUGAAAAUUUUGUUAUGGAAGCAACUUCAUUAGCAUUUUUGAAUGAAUAUCAUUCUGAAAUAACACCAAAACUUUAUAAAAUUUUAUACGAGUUUGAAAGUGUAGGUAAUAGUAAUUAUAGUAAUAGUAUUAGUAAUAGUAUAAGUUAUAAUAGUAGUAAUUGUGAUAGUAAUAGUGGUAGUAGUAAUAGUAAAAAAUAUAAAAAGGGAGUUGGUACAUAUGAAAAUACUACCAUUGUCACUGGUACUGGUACUGCCACAGGUAUAAAUACUACUACUGCUACAAAAAAUGUGUAUCCUAAUAGUACAUGUUAUAAUGACAUAUUUCGUAGCAGUUGCAGCAGUAACUCAUGUGUUGGUAAUUCUAGUAGUAGUUGUAAUAACAUAUGUGGUGGUAAUUCCUUUUUAAAUUAUAUAGCUUCUAAUUUGAUGCUUAAUAAUAAUAAUAAUAAUAACAAUUUGUUUGGUAAUAAAACAAAAACUAAUAACAUAACUAAUGGAAAUAUUAUGAACAUGAAUGGUAAUAUUGUUAUCGUUUCUGAGUUUUUUAGUGAAGACAUUUUAGAUUUUAUUGAUAGAAGACAAAAAAAAAAUAACACAAAAAUAAGUAAUGACGAAAAAAGUUUUAUUUUAUAUCAAUGUUUAAAAUUGUUAAUAAAAUUACAUGAUGCUGGUUUAUCUCAUUUAGAUUUGACUCCAGAAAAUAUUUUAAUAUCUGAAAAUUAUGAAAUGCGUUUAUGUGAUUUAUCCAAAAGUACACCUAUUUAUACACACAACUUACGACAUAUAAAAGAAUCUAACCAGUUGUAUUUAUUUGAAUCUUGUGAACCUACUAUUGCUAAAGGGGCAUAUAUGCCACCUGAGUGCUGGAAAAUAUAUUGGAAAUAUGACACUAUGAAAAUAAAAAGCCCACUAAAAGAUUUAAAAACCAUUACAGAUCAAGAAAAAAGGAAACAAUUUUAUUUUGAUGUUUCUUGUGCUGAUAAAUAUAUGCUUGGAGUAUUUUUCUUUUGGAUAUGGACAAAUGGAAACUUAUGGAAAUGCUCCGACCCCCUACAAGAUGAAGAUUUUUUUUAUUUUGUUAAGUGUGACAUGAAUUUUGAUAAAUUUGAGUUGACUCGAAAAUGGCCAGACGAGCUUAAAAAUAUUAUUAAGGAACUACUACACAGCGAAAAGAGGAAAAAACUAAACUUAAGAGACUUAAUUAUACACCCAUGGUGGUCUUGCAAGCUAUCAUAAUUCCACCGUUAUGUCAUAACGUUGUCUAUACAGGCAUGUCAUAAUCAUGUCAUUUUGAUAUUAAUAAUGAAAAUGAUGUUAAUGGUGUUAUUGGUAAUAAUGAUGUUAAUUUUGAUGACUUUUUUUUUUUUUUUUUUUUUUUUUUUUUUUUGUAUAUAUGCAAGUGCAUAUAUAUAUACAUAUAUGUACCAAUGUAUGUAAAAAGAUGUUAUAUAUGUAUUAUGUCAGUUUUUUGUUUUACGCACACAUUCGCUAUUUUUUUCAAAACUUUGACGAAAUCUACCAUGAUGUUUUCAUAUAUUUUAACAAUUAUAUUAUAUAGGCGUAUAUGUAUAAAUACUUGUGAUUUUUUUUUUUUUUUUUUUUUCAAUAUUUAGCUUGUUACAUUAUUCUGUAUAUUUAGACAGGUUUUUAUUAAGCACGUGUUUGUAUAUAUAAAUAUAUAUGCAAUUUUAUAUUUUCACAACAUCAUUUAUUUAAAAAUUUAAUGUAUCGUUAGUUUUUUUUCUUUUUGUUUUUUAGUUAUAUACACUUAUUCAUUAGCUUGUAUAUAUAUAUAUAUAUUUUUAAAAUGUGUAUAUCCAGGUAUACAUAUAUGUAUUUCUUGUUAUUUACAUGCAUUUUUUUUUUCUUAUUUCUUGCAAUUUUUAGAUAAAUAUUUCAUUAAAAUUAAAAGAAAAAAAUAAAAAAUUAACACUUAUAAAAAUUAUAAAAAAA
Molecule: long non-coding RNA, 2898 nt
Filed under: Piliocolobus tephrosceles (Ugandan red Colobus)
Lineage: Eukaryota; Metazoa; Chordata; Mammalia; Primates; Cercopithecidae
Description: lncRNA (ENSPTEG00000008598.1)
Source: RNAcentral